RNAcentral lists this ribosomal RNA (468 nucleotides) under uncultured organism. RNAcentral describes it as "partial 16S ribosomal RNA". It matches the Rfam family "Bacterial small subunit ribosomal RNA", at positions 332 to 797 of the family's 1533-position model. The record is from RNAcentral.
UACACUCCUACGGGAGGCAGCAGUGAGGAAUAUUGGACAAUGGGUGGAAGCCUGAUCCAGCCAUCCCGCGUGCAGGAAGACGGCCCUAUGGGUUGUAAACUGCUUUUAUCUGGGGAUAAACCUACUUACGUGUAAGUAGCUGAAGGUACCAGAAGAAUAAGCACCGGCUAACUCCGUGCCAGCAGCCGCGGUAAUACGGAGGGUGCAAGCGUUAUCCGGAUUUAUUGGGUUUAAAGGGUCCGUAGGCGGACUGAUAAGUCAGUGGUGAAAUCCGACAGCUUAACUGUCGAACUGCCAUUGAUACUGUUAGUCUUGAGUAAGGUUGAAGUGGCUGGAAUAAGUAGUGUAGCGGUGAAAUGCAUAGAUAUUACUUAGAACACCAAUUGCGAAGGCAGGUCACUAAGUCUUAACUGACGCUGAUGGACGAAAGCGUGGGGAGCGAACAGGAUUAGAAACCCCUGUAGUCCC